Molecule: small nucleolar RNA, 104 nt
Organism: Otolemur garnettii (small-eared galago)
Lineage: Eukaryota; Metazoa; Chordata; Mammalia; Primates; Galagidae
Source: Ensembl
AUUCUUUUGUAGUUUAUAAGGAUGACAGUUGAGUUUUCACGUGCAUGUGUGAGAUGUUUCUCCCUCAAACCUUGUUACCACAAUGGCACAUUACUCAUGUAAUG